AAUAAAAACAUAUCAUUGAAUGAAGAGAAGUGAGAAAUAUGAAGACCCCAUUGAAGCCCUCCAGCUAUUUCCCAUCCCCCAUUUACCUAUUUCCCUCUCCUUUUUUUAGCCAUUUUUUUCUAUUAACUUUCCCUUCUCAAACACUGAGCUGAAAAACAGUUUAGCCAAAAAAACAGAGCAAAUGGGUUUAACUCUUCUGCUUUUUCUUUGCUUCUCUGUUAUCUUAACUCCUUCUUUAUCACAGCACCAUUCGCCGCUAAAUACUGCUUAUUACCGGAGAUCAUGUCCAAGAUUUGAACAAAUUAUGCAAGAAACCACUACAAACAAACAGAUCACUUCACCUACUACCGCCGCCGCUACCCUCCGUCUCUUCUUCCACGACUGCUUCGUCGGCGGCUGCGACGCGUCCAUCCUCGUCUCCUCCACUCCUUUCAACAAAGCUGAACGUGACGCAGAAAUCAACCUAUCACUCCCCGGCGAUGGGUUCGAUGUAGUCGUACGCGCCAAAACGGCGCUUGAACUUGCUUGCCCCGGCGUUGUCUCUUGCUCCGACAUUCUCGCCGUCGCUGCCCGGAAUCUCGUUGUUCAAACCGGAGGCCCGU
This 602-nucleotide unclassified non-coding RNA is filed under the name Hevea brasiliensis (rubber tree). Lineage: Eukaryota; Viridiplantae; Streptophyta; Magnoliopsida; Malpighiales; Euphorbiaceae. The record is from RNAcentral.